This 77-nucleotide ribosomal RNA is filed under the name Agathobacter rectalis. RNAcentral describes it as "[Eubacterium] rectale partial 16S ribosomal RNA". The stretch from base 1 to 69 matches the Rfam family "Bacterial small subunit ribosomal RNA", at positions 1465 to 1533 of the family's 1533-position model. Lineage: Bacteria; Bacillati; Bacillota; Clostridia; Lachnospirales; Lachnospiraceae. The record is from RNAcentral.
GGCUCGAUAACUGGGGUGAAGUCGUAACAAGGUAGCCGUAUCGGAAGGUGCGGCUGGAUCACCUCCUUUCUAAGGAA